UACGUAGGGUGCAAGCGUUAAUCGGAAUUACUGGGCGUAAAGCGUGCGCAGGCGGUUUUGUAAGUCUGUCGUGAAAUCCCCGGGCUCAACCUGGGAAUUGCGAUGGAGACUGCAAGGCUAGAAUCUGGCAGAGGGGGUAGAAUUCCACGUGUAGCAGUGAAAUGCGUAGAGAUGUGGAGGAACACCGAUGGCGAAGGCAGCCCCUGGGUCAAGAUUGACGCUCAUGCACGAAAGCGUGGGGAGCCAAACAGG
This 252-nucleotide ribosomal RNA is filed under the name uncultured bacterium. RNAcentral's name for it is "partial 16S ribosomal RNA". It matches the Rfam family "Bacterial small subunit ribosomal RNA", at positions 524 to 776 of the family's 1533-position model. The record is from RNAcentral.